UAGUUUUUUUAGAAAUAAAUUUAAUUUACAAAUUUUUAAUUUUUAGGUUUUUUUGAAAAAAUAAAAAUUUAUUAAUUUGAAUAUUUUAAGGGAUAAGCUUUAAAAUAAAUAAUUAAAAAUUUAAAUAAGUUAUUAAAAAUGUAUGUGUAGAAUUAGCAAUCAUUUAUAAAUUUGUUAUAAAUUAUUUUAUAAAUAUUAUUAUUUAUUUUGUUUUAAUUUAUUUAUAAGAAUUUUUUUAUUAAUUUUACAUGAAAAGUAAUAAUGAUUUAAUUAGUAUAUAAUAACAUUUUGUUUUAGUAUAUUUUGUUGAAAAGUUUAUGUAAAGAACUCGGCAAAUUUUAUACUCGCCUGUUUAACAAAAACAUGUCUUUUUGAAUUUAAUUUAAAGUCUGACCUGCCCACUGAGUGAAUUUAAAUGGCCGCAGUAUUUUGACUGUGCAAAGGUAGCAUAANCAUUUGUCUUUUAAUUGAAGGCUGGUAUGAAUGGUUGGACGAAGUAUAAACUGUUUCAUAUAAAAUUAUUAUAGAAUUUUAUAUUUUAGUAAAAAAGCUAAAAUUUUAUUAAAAGACGAGAAGACCCUAUAAAUCUUUAUAUCUUAUUUUAUUUAAGUUUUUUAGAUUUAUUUUAUUUUUAUAUUAUGAGGUAUUUUGUUGGGGUGAUGUUAAAAUUUAAUGAACUUUUAAUAAUUUAAGAUCAUUAAUUUAUGAAUUGUUGAUCCAUUAAUAUUGAUUAUAAGAUUAAGUUACUUUAGGGAUAACAGCGUAAUUUUUUUUGAGAGUUCAUAUCGACAGAAAAGUUUGCGACCUCGAUGUUGGAUUAAGGUGUAAUUUUGGGUGUAGCCGUUCAAGUAUUAAGUCUGUUCGACUUUUA
This 871-nucleotide ribosomal RNA is filed under the name Anastrepha nigrifascia. Its description in RNAcentral is "partial 16S ribosomal RNA". The record is from RNAcentral. Lineage: Eukaryota; Metazoa; Arthropoda; Insecta; Diptera; Tephritidae.